UUUGGUGGCGAUAGCGAAGAGGUCACACCCGUUCCCAUACCGAACACGGAAGUUAAGCUCUUCAGCGCUGAUGGUAGUUGGGGGUCUCCCCCUGUGAGAGUAGGACGCCGCCAAGC
Molecule: ribosomal RNA, 116 nt
Filed under: Bacillus pumilus
Lineage: Bacteria; Bacillati; Bacillota; Bacilli; Caryophanales; Bacillaceae
Source: RNAcentral